CCUACGGGUGGCAGCAGUGAGGAAUAUUGGUCAAUGGACGAGAGUCUGAACCAGCCAAGUAGCGUGAAGGAUGACUGCCCUAUGGGUUGUAAACUUCUUUUAUAUGGGAAUAAAAUGUUCCACGUGUGGGAUUUUGUAUGUACCAUAUGAAUAAGGAUCGGCUAACUCCGUGCCAGCAGCCGCGGUAAUACGGAGGAUCCGAGCGUUAUCCGGAUUUAUUGGGUUUAAAGGGAGCGUAGGUGGAUUGUUAAGUCAGUUGUGAAAGUUUGCGGCUCAACCGUAAAAUUGCAGUUGAAACUGGCAGUCUUGAGUACAGUAGAGGUGAGCGGAAUUCGUGGUGUAGCGGUGAAAUGCUUAGAUAUCACGAAGAACUCCGGUUGCGAAGGCAGUUCACUGGACUGCAACUGACACUGAGGCUCGAAAGUGUGGGUAUCAAACAGGAUUAGAUACCCUUGUAGUC
Molecule: ribosomal RNA, 460 nt
Filed under: uncultured bacterium
Lineage: Bacteria
Description: partial 16S ribosomal RNA
Rfam family: Bacterial small subunit ribosomal RNA
Source: RNAcentral